UUUCCGUAGGUGAACCUGCGGAAGGAUCAUUAAAGAGAUAAUGACCUCACGGGUAGACCUCCCACCCUUUGUUUACAAUACCUUUGUUGCUUUGGCGGGCCCGUUUGGCCCCGCGCUGAACAACCGGCCCCGGCUGGUCAGUUCCCUCCAGAGAACCGAAAACUCUGAAUUAAAUGUCGUCUGAGUACUAUGUAAUAGUUAAAACUUUCAACAACGGAUCUCUUGGUUCUG
This 231-nucleotide unclassified non-coding RNA is filed under the name plant metagenome. RNAcentral's name for it is "partial contains small subunit ribosomal RNA, internal transcribed spacer 1, and 5.8S ribosomal RNA". The record is from RNAcentral.